AGCAGCCGCGGUAAUUCCAGCUUCAAUAGCGUAUAUUAAAGUUGUUGCAGUUAAAAAGCUCGUAGUUGAAUUUCGGAAUCAAUGGAUCGGUCAUGCCACUCGGUGUGUACUGGUUUGAUUGGUUCUCACCUUCUAAGGAACCGUGAUGUCAUUAAUUUGGUGUCGCGGGGAAUUAGGACUGUUACUUUGAAAAAAUUAGAGUGUUUAAAGCAAGCUCACGCUUGAAUACAUUAGCAUGGAAUAAUGAAAUAGGACAUUGUAUUCUAUUUUGUUGGUUUCUAGGAUCGAUGUAAUGAUUAAUAGGGAUAGUUGGGGGCAUUAGUAUUCAAUUGUCAGAGGUGAAAUUCUUGGAUUUAUUGAAGACUAACUACUGCGAAAGCAUUUGCCAAGGAUGUUUUCAUUAAUCAAGAACGAAAGUUAGGGGAUCGAAGACGAUCAGAUACCGUCGUAGUCUUAACCAUAAACUAUGCCGACUAGGGAUCGGAUGAUGUUAAUUUUUUAAUGACUCAUUCGGCACCUU
RNAcentral lists this unclassified non-coding RNA (520 nucleotides) under uncultured Glomus. RNAcentral's name for it is "SSU rRNA". It matches the Rfam family "Eukaryotic small subunit ribosomal RNA", at positions 569 to 1089 of the family's 1831-position model. The record is from RNAcentral. Lineage: Eukaryota; Fungi; Glomeromycota; Glomeromycetes; Glomerales; Glomeraceae.